RNAcentral lists this long non-coding RNA (270 nucleotides) under Phasianus colchicus (ring-necked pheasant). RNAcentral's name for it is "lncRNA (ENSPCLG00000000810.1)". The record is from RNAcentral. Lineage: Eukaryota; Metazoa; Chordata; Aves; Galliformes; Phasianidae.
AUGAAAGAAGUGUCCCUCCCUCAUCUUAGAUACUGUCCUGUACAGGAGGAGGUGAAAACAGAUGGACGUUGGCCACACACCAGCAAAAGAAGUUUGCUAAUUUCUGUCACAUGCAUGAGUGCUGCUAUCUUGUUAUGCCAGUGCAUGGAAGCGUAAAGAAUGGAUUCACAUGUUUGUGGAAAAUAGUUGUAGUAAUAGGUAGGGAAACAUGAAAAUGAGUUCCCAGAUUGGUAUUUUAUGUUAGUAAGCGUUGCUAAAGUUAUAGAUGUG